AGUUGUAUUCUGCCUGCUGCACCAUGCAAAUGCGCUCCUUCAGCACGCAAACACUCCUCUGCGGCAGGGUUUCUUCUUACCCCCUUUGCACAGACCAUCAUGGAGCAGUUCAACCCUAGCCUCCGGAACUUCAUCGCCAUGGGGAAGAAUUACGAGAAGGCACUGGUGUGACGUAUGCAGCCAAAGGCUACUUUGACGCCCUGGUGAAGAUGGGAGAGCUGGCCAGCGAGAGCCAGGGCUCCAAAGAACUCGGAGACGUUCUCUUCCAGAUGGCUGAAGUCCACAGGCAGAUCCAGAAUCAGCUGGAAGAAAUGCUGAAGUCUUUUCACAACGAGCUGCUCACACAGCUGGAGCAGAAGGUGGAGCUGGACUCCAGGUAUCUGAGUGCUGCGCUGAAGAAAUACCAGACUGAGCAAAGGAGCAAAGGCGACGCCCUGGACAAGUGUCAGGCUGAGCUGAAGAAGCUUCGGAAGAAGAGCCAGGGCAGCAAGAAUCCUCAGAAGUACUCGGACAAGGAGCUGCAGUACAUCGACGCCAUCAGCAACAAGCAGGGCGAGCUGGAGAAUUACGUGUC
Molecule: small RNA, 574 nt
Filed under: Pan troglodytes (chimpanzee)
Lineage: Eukaryota; Metazoa; Chordata; Mammalia; Primates; Hominidae
Description: processed transcript
Source: RNAcentral